CUAAGAUGAGGAACCUUGCAAGCACAUUUGUGGUUGUACUGCUGAUUUCAGUUUGCUUCGAUUCCAGUUUACAGACAUCCCCGCCUCAUAUCUUGAAAAUUAUUCAUGAUUGCCGAUGUCCACGAACUUGUGUAUUUUCAUUAAGAGUUUGUUUAAUAGCCGGGGCCUGCCGGAGAUGCAAGUCACCGAACUAUGGAAAGAAAAGGUAGCCAAAAAAAAAAAACCCAAGAAAAAAUAUUUGCAUGCUUGGACUGAAGACGAGUUUAAGAUAGCCAGUUGUGAAUGAAAAGACUUACAAAUUGCUCUGAAGAAAAGUAGCGUAAACUGUGGGAGAUUCUGAAGCCAAUGAAAAUUUGUUUCAAAGGAAUGAGUUAAUGUAACUUUUAUUGAUAACAGUAUCAUACAACGAUAUUAUGUCCAUAUAUCUUAUCAUAUUGUUUUAUGCGUAUUACAUGUAA
This is a long non-coding RNA of Magallana angulata, 458 nucleotides long. RefSeq lists it as uncharacterized. The transcript is spliced from 3 exons. Lineage: Eukaryota; Metazoa; Mollusca; Bivalvia; Ostreida; Ostreidae. The record is from RefSeq and is a predicted model, not a curated record.